This 492-nucleotide ribosomal RNA is filed under the name uncultured bacterium. Its description in RNAcentral is "partial 16S ribosomal RNA". It matches the Rfam family "Bacterial small subunit ribosomal RNA", at positions 29 to 507 of the family's 1533-position model. The record is from RNAcentral.
AGUGAACGCUGGCGGUAGGCCUAACACAUGCCAGUCGAACGGCAGCACAGUAAGAGCUUGCUCUUACGGGUGGCGAGUGGCGGACGGGUGAGGAAUGCAUCGGAAUCUACUUUUUCGUGGGGGAUAACGUAGGGAAACUUACGCUAAUACCGCAUACGACCUACGGGUGAAAGCAGGGGAUCUUCGCACCUUGCGCGAUUGAAUGAGCCGAUGUCGGAUUAGCUAGUUGGCGGGGUAAAGGCCCACCAAGGCGACGAUCCGUAGCUGGUCUGAGAGGAUGAUCAGCCACACUGGAACUGAGACACGGUCCAGACUCCUACGGGAGGCAGCAGUGGGGAAUAUUGGACAAUGGGCGCAAGCCUGAUCCAGCCAUACCGCGUGGGUGAAGAAGGCCUUCGGGUUGUAAAGCCCUUUUGUUGGGAAAGAAAAGCAGCAGGUUAAUACCCCGCUGUUCUGACGGUACCCAAAGAAUAAGCACCGGCUAACUUCGUG